GAGUGAAGCGGCAAAAGCUCAAAUUUGAAAUCUAGCACCUUCGGUGUUCGAGUUGUAAUUUGAAGAUGGUAACCUUGGGUUUGGCUCUUGUCUAUGUUCCUUGGAACAGGACGUCAUAGAGGGUGAGAAUCCCGUCUGAUGAGAUGCCCAUUCCUAUGUAAGGUGCUAUCGAAGAGUCGAGUUGUUUGGGAAUGCAGCUCUAAGUGGGUGGUAAAUUCCAUCUAAAGCUAAAUAUUGGCGAGAGACCGAUAGCGAACAAGUACAGUGAUGGAAAGAUGAAAAGAACUUUGAAAAGAGAGUGAAAAAGUACGUGAAAUUGUUGAAAGGGAAGGGCAUUAGAUCAGACUUGGUGUUUUACGAUUAUCUUCUCUUCUUGAGUUGUGCACUCGUAUUUCACUGGGCCAGCAUCGAUUCGGAUGGCAAGAUAAUGGCAGUUGAAUGUGGCUUCACUUCGGUGGAGUGUUAUAGCUUCUGCUGAUAUUGCCUGUCUGGAUCGAGGGCUGCGUCUUU
RNAcentral lists this ribosomal RNA (510 nucleotides) under Saccharomyces cerevisiae (brewer's yeast). RNAcentral describes it as "eukaryotic LSU rRNA". It matches the Rfam family "Eukaryotic large subunit ribosomal RNA", at positions 91 to 604 of the family's 3401-position model. The record is from RNAcentral. Lineage: Eukaryota; Fungi; Ascomycota; Saccharomycetes; Saccharomycetales; Saccharomycetaceae.